RNAcentral lists this long non-coding RNA (8988 nucleotides) under Salvia miltiorrhiza (redroot sage). RNAcentral's name for it is "long non-coding RNA (SMIL_LNC006020)". Lineage: Eukaryota; Viridiplantae; Streptophyta; Magnoliopsida; Lamiales; Lamiaceae. The record is from RNAcentral.
AGGAGUUGGUAUGACGAAUGCAGGUCAAUAUCUAGAAGUAAUUUCACAUCUUAUUCAAAAGGCAAUAACCAAAUAUUCAAACGGAAAACUAGUUUCUAGGUAAACGAUUCAGCCUCGCAAGCAUGUAUUAUAUACACAAAUUAUUCUCACCUCAUAUAAUUUAGAGAAUCAAGCCCUUCGGAGAGUCUGGUUUUUUGUCGCUUGGAGUUGGAGUCGGAGUAGUUGUGGUUGGAGCCGGAGUUGUAGUUGGAGCAGCUUUUGGUGAAUCAGUUGUGUGAAGCUGAGUGUAACCUUGAGCUUCAUUUCUUCCCUGCUCUUCUUCAGCCACUUUCUCCAGCGUUUUCUGCCCGACAUCCCCGGCCGCCUUUGAGACCCUAUUGAAAGCCCCGGUAACCCAUGUAGUGCCAGUUAAGAUGUAUCGGUUUUUCAUGAUGGCCGUUCCUGCACUACUAACAGUCUGCUCAGCAGCAGCAAAAGCUGUCUUAGUCUUCUCAGAGACCUGGAACUUCUGGUCUACUUCCUUCACUUUGUCAUUGACUAUGGUUGCUCCGACAGUGAUUUUCUCACUCAGUCCAAUCUUUUGAUCCAGUGAUGCUACUUUGGCUGAAGCAGUUGAUAUGAGUUGGUGCCUCUCAUCGAAAGACUUUGCCCUGUUAAGAGCAUCCUUCCCUAAGAUAAAACCCUUGGCUAACAUGCCGCUAACAACGUCCUCUGCCUUCUGCGCAGCAGCUGCAACACCACCAGCAGCAGUAUCGCCUUGUGAUGCCUGAAAAAGAGACAAUAUCCGAAAUAAUUCCUCACAAGAAGUUGGAUUUUAAAAAUGAAGAACCAAAAGUUUCCAUACGGUAGAUGCUGCUGCUGAUGCUGGCAGUGUAUAGUUUGGUUCAAGGGCAAUGGUGACUGACUGGUCCACUAUUGUGGCUCCCUGCAGAGGUUCAGAAGGAUUAACACUUUAGACAGGGAAUCACACAUGAAUUCAGACUAAAACAAAUUUGUCUCCUACAACAGACUAGGUGUUUAUUCCUAUAUUCACCUUUCUAUAGUUCAACUAGUUUGACGAAUAGGCAAAGAGAUCAGCCAAAUUCAAUUGAAGGAAAAGAACCCCAAUAAUGAGGAGAAAGGAAGGAAAGCAACAAAGAGGGGAAUUAUGAACUUUCGUAUGGGUAAUCACUUAUUAGACCAAAACAAUUAUGGAUUCAGGAAAGGAGUGAUACUCAGCUGUAAGGAGAAAAAAGAUAGAUACUUUUUAGUCUGUGGGAAUGGUCCAUUUUUGGCUCAGCAAAAACAGUACAUUACAAUAUCAAAGUAUCUUGGGAAAAACAAAAAUGUAACGUCCCAGCAGCAGGGACGCAGGCAGAAAAAUUCGUUGAAUGGGGCUGUGUUUUCUAUAAUUUUGAGUUCAAAAGUUUGAAAAGUUACUUUUUAUGUGAUUUGGUUCAGUGGGAGGGGCUUAUGCACCAGAAUUCGCAUAAAAUAUCAAUAAUUGGACAAUUAUAAGAAGGAAAGAAAGAAAAAAAAUGAUUGGGAGGGAUGUGGCUGCGGCACUGGUAGGUAGUCCAAAUGGUUUUGAUUUGUGAGCAGUUACAUACUGUGUUGCCAGAAAUAUAACAAAUGAAUCUCAUUCCAAAAACUAAACAAAAUCCCACUCGCUUCUAGCAGGUGUGCAUGAAAAAAUUAGGUAGAGUUUCAUAUCAUCUAUGUCCCAAGGAUUUUGAUCAUGCAAAGCCACCGUCAGAUAGAGUGAGGGUAUGGAGAAGUAUACCGAAAGAAGAACAGCAGUCUCUGCACCCUGAGCAUCCUUGAACGUGACAUACGCAGAUUGAGAUCUCUCAUUUUCACUACAAACCAAGCAAAUACUAAAUGAGCAAUGGUAUACAAAAAAUGCCAACCACCAUGGAACAAGAAUCCAAGACUGGAAUCAUAAAGGAGAAACAAUCUAAGGAUCUGUGAUCGAACCUUUUCAUUUCAACAUAUUGAAUUACCCCAGAGAAGGAAAAGAACUCCUGGAUGUCUUGUUCUGUUGCACUCAGCGACACAUUGCUCACUUUCACAGUCCUGGUCUGCCAUGAACAAAGAAGCUGGCAAAGUGAGAGAGAGAGAAGGGGAAGAGGGCAGGGAAUGGUGGAAGGUUGAGAGGAUUUUGCAUAUACAAUUUCAGCUCAAAGUUCAAUAGGUUUAUCCAUGAUAGAUGAUCUCCAUCUCACUCGAAUAAUUGAAUGUAAGAACACAAUAAAAUAUCAGUCCCUACUCCCUAUUGGUUGUACAGUGCAUGUUCAUCAAUUUUGCAGAUUCUUUUUUACUAUAGUAUUGGUGGAGAGAGAGAGAGAGAGAGAGAGUGAGCGAAAGGCACAUAUACACAACNGACAUUAGGGUUCACAAAUGCUUACAUGUUAAUCCAACCGGAAAGACAUACAACACACUAGAAUGUCGUGUCGUGACUUCCUUCAAAAUUUUGAAAAUUUAUGGUGCAUAUAAAUGAGACUCGUCACAAAUAUAAAGAUGUAAUGCUAUAGAAUGGUAUAUCUACUUACCUACUAUUAAAAUAAAAGAUGGUAAAUUCCAAUUAGAAAGAAAGGAAAAAAAGAAAAGAAAAAGGAGUUGGUAUGACGAAUGCAGGUCAAUAUCUAGAAGUAAUUUCACAUCUUAUUCAAAAGGCAAUAACCAAAUAUUCAAACGGAAAACUAGUUUCUAGGUAAACGAUUCAGCCUCGCAAGCAUGUAUUAUAUACACAAAUUAUUCUCACCUCAUAUAAUUUAGAGAAUCAAGCCCUUCGGAGAGUCUGGUUUUUUGUCGCUUGGAGUUGGAGUCGGAGUAGUUGUGGUUGGAGCCGGAGUUGUAGUUGGAGCAGCUUUUGGUGAAUCAGUUGUGUGAAGCUGAGUGUAACCUUGAGCUUCAUUUCUUCCCUGCUCUUCUUCAGCCACUUUCUCCAGCGUUUUCUGCCCGACAUCCCCGGCCGCCUUUGAGACCCUAUUGAAAGCCCCGGUAACCCAUGUAGUGCCAGUUAAGAUGUAUCGGUUUUUCAUGAUGGCCGUUCCUGCACUACUAACAGUCUGCUCAGCAGCAGCAAAAGCUGUCUUAGUCUUCUCAGAGACCUGGAACUUCUGGUCUACUUCCUUCACUUUGUCAUUGACUAUGGUUGCUCCGACAGUGAUUUUCUCACUCAGUCCAAUCUUUUGAUCCAGUGAUGCUACUUUGGCUGAAGCAGUUGAUAUGAGUUGGUGCCUCUCAUCGAAAGACUUUGCCCUGUUAAGAGCAUCCUUCCCUAAGAUAAAACCCUUGGCUAACAUGCCGCUAACAACGUCCUCUGCCUUCUGCGCAGCAGCUGCAACACCACCAGCAGCAGUAUCGCCUUGUGAUGCCUAGAAAAAGAGACAAUAUCCGAAAUAAUUCCUCACAAGAAGUUGGAUUUUAAAAAUGAAGAACCAAAAGUUUCCAUACGGUAGAUGCUGCUGCUGAUGCUGGCAGUGUAUAGUUUGGUUCAAGGGCAAUGGUGACUGACUGGUCCACUAUCGUGGCUCCCUGCAGAGGUUCAGAAGGAUUAACCUUUAGACAGGGAAUCACACAUGAAUUCAGACUAAAACAAAUUUGUCUCCUACAACAGACUAGGUGUUUAUUCCUAUAUUCACCUUUCUAUAGUUCAACUAGUUUGACGAAUAGGCAAAGAGAUCAGCCAAAUUCAAUUGAAGGAAAAAGAACCCCAAUAAUGAGGAGAAAGGAAGGAAAGCAACAAAGAGGGGAAUUAUGAACUUUCGUAUGAGUAAUCACUUAUUAGACCAAAACAAUUAUGGAUUCAGGAAAGGAGUGAUACUCAGCUGUAAGGAGAAAAAAGAUAGAUACUUUUUAGUCUGUGGGAAUGGUCCAUUUUUGGCUCAGCAAAAACAGUACAUUACAAUAUCAAAGUAUCUUGGGAAAAACAAAAAUGUAACGUCCCAGCAGCAGGGACGCAGGCAGAAAAAUUCGUUGAAUCUUGAAUGGGGCUGUGUUUUCUAUAAUUUUGAGUUCAAAAGUUUGAAAAGUUACUUUUUAUGUGAUUUGGUUCAGUGGGAGGGGCUUAUGCACCAGAAUUCGCAUAAAAUAUCAAUAAUUGGACAAUUAUAAGAAGAAGGAAAAAAAGAAAAAAAAUGAUUGGGAGGGAUGUGGCUGCGGCACUGGUAGGUAGUCCAAAUGGUUUUGAUUUGUGAGCAGUUACAUACUGUGUUGCCAGAAAUAUAACAAAUGAAUCUCAUUCCAAAAACUAAACAAAAUCCCACUCGCUUCUAGCAGGUGUGCAUGAAAAAAUUAGGUAGAGUUUCAUAUCAUCUAUGUCCCAAGGAUUUUGAUCAUGCAAAGCCACCAUCAGAUAGAGUGAGGGUAUGGAGAAGUAUACCGAAAGAAGAACAGCAGUCUCUGCACCCUGAGCAUCCUUGAACGUGACAUACGCAGAUUGAGAUCUCUCAUUUUCACUACAAACCAAGCAAAUACUAAAUGAGCAAUGGUAUACAAAAAAUGCCAACCACCAUGGAACAAGAAUCAAGACGGAAUCAUAAAGGAGAAACAAUCUAAGGAUCUGUGAUCGAACCUUUUCAUUUCAACAUAUUGAAUUACCCCAGAGAAGGAAAAGAACUCCUGGAUGUCUUGUUCUGUUGCACUCAGCGACACAUUGCUCACUUUCACAGUCCUGGUCUGCCAUGAACAAAGAAGCUGGCAAAGUGAGAGAGAGAGAAGGGGAAGAGGGCAGGGAAUGGUGGAAGGUUGAGAGGAUUUUGCAUAUACAAUUUCAGCUCAAAGUUCAAUAGGUUUAUCCAUGAUAGAUGAUCUCCAUCUCACUCAAUAAUUGAAUGUAAGAACACAAUAAAAUAUCAGUCCCUACUCCCUAUUGGUUGUACAGUGCAUGUUCAUCAAUUUUGCAGAUUCUUUUUUACUAUAGUAUUGGUGGAGAGAGAGAGAGAGAGAGAGAGUGAGCGAACAGGCACCAAUAUACACCAACAGGAUCGCGCCGCAACAACCUAUCAUGUGCAGAAACAUUCUCAUACAGCGAAAAAUUAAAAUAUUUCCAUAUCUUAGCUCGGACGAUCAAGAUACUUUCCAUUAUUACCAACAGUCCAGGAGCAAAAGAUAUAUCCUAGAUCUCGUAGCUCUCGUUACGAAUAAAUUAAUCAGCUCAUCUAUUAAGCUCAUUGAAACACACCCGCACACACAUAGACAUAUCAAUAAACCUCAAUUAAUUGAAUUAGUGAUAUCCUCAUGUGAAAAACAUCCACAAAUAGAAAAGAAAAACUCAACAAAUCAAAAACCAAUAACGAAAAUAGUUAAUCUCCAUCUCGAUCCAGUUAAGCACUCUGAAUAUAUAUAUAUAUAAUUCGCAAAACCUAAUUUCUAUUUAAUCCUGUUCAACAUCGAUACCACGAAAAAACAGAAAAAGGAGAAGAAAAAUGAAAUAAAAAAAAUACAUAAUGUUACUAGGUAAAUUUGUCUCUGAAAACACUGAAAAAAAAAGUGAAUUAAUCACAUGCAAACAACAGUUAUACUGACCGUCAUUGCCAACGAGUCCGUGCGAUUACAGGAGAGACGUGAGAGAAAUUUGAAUCGCUGAAUAAACUGAAAAAAUCUGGGCGAAGUUCGUGUGAGAGAGGAGGAUAGAGAGAGAAGAGUUGGAGAUGUGAUUAUUAAUUUAUGAGUCUUAGAAAUGAAGGCAGAAAAGUGUUUGGGGUUUCCAGUUUUCUCUACAGUUAAAUUACUGAUGCGACUCUCUCAAAAAGUUUUUCAUGGGAAUUUGAAGGCGCAUCACAAGGAAUUGGACUGAACCGCACAGAAGAGCACCCGCUUUUUGGGCGUCCACGCGUUGCGUCAUCACGUGGAAUUAAACGCUCUACUAAAUCUGCCAUUUUUAUUUUUCUCAAAAGGAAAACAAGCCAAAUUGUUUUUACAAAGGCAAUAUUGAUAUCAAAUCUUCCAUUAUACAUGAAUUUUUUAGGUUAAUAAUACUCCCUCCUUCUCACCUAACUUCAUCAAUUUCUUUUCAGCACAAAAUUUAAAAAAUCAAUAUUUAAUAUUUAAAGUAUAUUCUUUUACCAAGAAAAUAUCUAAAAUGUAUUUAGUACUCCCUCCAUUUCAUAAUAUAUAUCCUAAUUUGUUUCAGCACGAAAAUUUAGAUGAGUAUGAUUAAAUAGUAAUGAAAAAAAUAAUGUAGUCCAUUUUAUUUUAUGAGAGAAAUAGAAUUAAAGUGGAGAUGAUUAAAAUGUAAAAAAUGGUGGAACUCACUUUCUUAUUUUAGAAAGAUAGCACUUAUUGUGGAACGACUCAAAAAGAAAAGUAACUCAAAAAGGGAAAGUAUUGCACUUGUUAUGGGACAAAGGGAGUAAUAAAAUGAAUAAAGUAUGAUGAUGAUAAAAAUAUGCAUCUCAAAAAUAUCGAAGGAAAAUAACGAAGGAAUAGAGAGAUUCCCGACGAACAGCGCUGCUGAGCCCAAAAUAGCGCUUCCAGAUCCCAAUCAGCGCUGCCUUUAACGGAACGAGCCUAAAUUCACGGAGAUGACCUUAUCUCGAAAGAGUCCAAUGUCCGUGGUCAACCAAGUCCGAAGCCAAGAUCGCAAUGAAGAUACGAGAUAAUCAUAAAGAGUCAUAGUCCGAUUAUGACUCAAAUAUGAGUCAUUUUCCUACUAGAAUUCAUCGUUAUUUGCCUAUAAAUACGUGUAAAAUCCUAGUGUAAGAUGAUCGACUAUCAUUGUUCACUUACUUUCAAAGCCUUUCGCUAAAGUAAUACAAAGUUUAACGUUUCAACGCCUUUUCAUGUUCUUGUUACUUUCUGUUACAAAUGUGAUAUUUUUGGGCACAACAAAGUGAAAAGUCAUUCCAUAUGAAGAAAUUGAUCAACUUAUUGGGACGAUCAAAAAAGAAAUAUUGAUCAAGUUAGAUGAAACGUAUACUUAGUUUUUAUCAUUUUUUUAAAAAAAAUCCUUAAUUCACAUUUUACUUAAAAUAAUAUUUUAAUUUCAAGAAAAUCAAUUUAUAACUUUCAUAGUGUGAUUAUAAAAUAAUAAAUUACUUAACUAAAUUCUUAAGUGGAUUCCACCUAAGCAUCAAAUCAAUUUUAAUGCUUAGGUGGGAAAAUAGUUGAAAAUUUUCUCUCUCAUCCAUUUUCUCAACUUUUACAAAUAUUCUUCUCUAAAAUCUGAUCAUCUUAUUCCAGAAUCCAACAAAGUUCGCCGCAUGAGAUAACGCUACAUCCACCAUUAGAGCAUACACAACAAUAGAGCCCCCUUUGGGGGUUCUAAGACUAUGUUUAUCAGCAACCACCCAACAACCCAAUCAUCCAACCGUCUACAAUAUUUAAUUAAUCUCUCUCUCUUCCACAUCACCAACAUUCAUCCCAAUCCAACCACUUCUAUUUUUAUUGGUUUAUCAAUGACCACCCAACCAUCCAACCACAACAUUAUAUAUAAUUAUUUUGUUAUUAUUUUUAAUCAUAAUAAUUUUAGUAAUAUUAAAUAUAAAUUAAAAUAUUACAAAAAAAAUGAAAAAAAAUAUAACAAACUAAUAAAAAUUUAAAUUACGACAAACUAAAAAUAGAAAUUACAACAACCCAAACUCGAAAUAGAAAAAAAACAAUACAUACUAUCAUUUAAUUAUCAUCGCCAAACUUUUGCCUUAUAUGCUCGAUCAAGUCAUGUAAUAGAGAGUUGUGAGCUCCUCUAUUGCGAAGUUGGGACCUAGUUCUGAUAUAGAUCGCUAGGCUUGCAAUCCUAUUCGUAGAGUAUACGAAAUCAUUAGUUUCAUCUCCAUCUUCACUUGGACGAGUAUUCUGUCUUAGUCGAUCUUCGAUGAAUUCUGUAGGAUCAUGAAGUAAGGAUAGUGUUUUCAUCUUCCACUAUCAUAUUAUGCAUGAUGAUGCAAGCAAUUAAUCGUUAUUUUCCCCAUAAUAUCACGAUCCCAAUAAACAUGGCCGUUGAUAAAAGUAAAAAGCGCUUGUAAAACUCCAAAUGCUCGCUCAACAUCUUUUCGGGCAGCCUCUUGAUGUUGAGCAAACAUNUGGUGCUUUCGAAGUUGUGGAGCAGGAAUAGAUUUGAUAAAUGCCGCCCAUUGAGGAUAUAUACCAUCAGUGAAAUAGUAUCCCAUAUCCCUUUCACGACCAUAAACGAUAUAAUUGACUUUUGGUGCUCGAUCAUCCAAGAUAUCAUCAAAAAUAAGCGAUUGAUCAAGUACAUUGAUAUCAUUUCUUGAACCUAGGGUUUCAAAAAAUGCAUGCCAGAUCCAUAGGUUUUGUGAUGCAACUGCUUCCAGAAUAAUUAUUGGCGUCGCGCUUCGUCCUGCAUACUGCCCUGCCCAUGCAGUAGGGCAAUUUUUCCAUUCCCAAUGCAUACAGUCAAUACUGCCCAUCACGCGUGGGAACCCUCGCCGUUCUCCGAUAUGAAGAAAAGCUGCCAUAUCUUCUUCAGUGGGCUUUUUGAGGUACUCAGCUCCGAAAUUGGAAAUGACACCUCCAACAAAUUUGAUGAUUGACUUACGAAUGACUUGGGCUCUCAUUCGUAAGUAUUCGUCAUGCAAAUCGGUUGAGGUGUUGUAUGCCAACACUGCAGUACAUUUUUGAAUUGGAGACAUACCAAGACGGCCAGCUGCAUCAGGGUGUUGUUGAAAAAAUUUAUCGAUAGCGACGAGCCUGUUCAUUAUACGUUCGAACAAAGGCUUUCGCAUGCGAAACCUUGUUCGAAAAUAUUCUGGGGGAUAGAUUGGAUCUUCUAAAAAGUACUGCUCAAACACACCUUCAUGACCUAUCUCACGUUUUCUUUCAAUAUACUGCCCCCUUGCUCUAACGACAUGAUUGGUAGGUUGUACAUAUAGACUUGCGGCAUGGAUGACCACAUCCUCAAUGAUGCGGUCAAGUUGGCGAUUAUGUUCGGCAACGCUUUGUUCCCAUGCUUCAUCAUCGCUAGAAUUUGAAGCAUCAAUAUUUGAACUAUAGGCCAUUUUUUGAAGAUGAGUGUUUUCUAUCUAGAGUAUAGAAGAGAUAAUU